RNAcentral lists this ribosomal RNA (698 nucleotides) under Amanita strobilaceovolvata. Its description in RNAcentral is "partial large subunit ribosomal RNA". It matches the Rfam family "Eukaryotic large subunit ribosomal RNA", at positions 258 to 940 of the family's 3401-position model. Lineage: Eukaryota; Fungi; Basidiomycota; Agaricomycetes; Agaricales; Amanitaceae. The record is from RNAcentral.
CAAAGAGUCGAGUUGUUUGGGAAUGCAGCUCUAAAUGGGUGGUAAACUCCAUCUAAAGCUAAAUAUGGGCGAGAGACCGAUAGCGAACAAGUACCGUGAGGGAAAGAUGAAAAGCACUUUGGAAAGAGAGUUAAAAAGUAUGUGAAAUUGUUGAAAGGGAAACACUUGAGGUCAGCUGUGUCAGGUAGUGAUCAGCCUAGCUUUUCUGCUGGGUGAAUUUUCUAGACUGACAGGCCAACAUCAGUUUUGACUGCUGGAAAAGGGCAGAGGGAAUGUGGCACUUUCGAGUGUGUUAUAGCCUUUUGUCAGAUGCAGCAGUUGGGACUGAGGAUUGCAGCGUGCUGUGAAGCCGGGUUUCGACCACGUUCACGCUUAGGAUGUUGGCUUUAUAAUGGCUUCAAUUGACCCGUCUUGAAACACGGACCAAGGAGUCUAACAUGCCUGCGAGUGUUUGGGUGGAGAAAACCCUUGCGCGUAAUGAAAGUAAAAGUUGAGAUCCCUGUCGCGGGGAGCAUUGACGCCCGGACCGGAGCUUUUAGCGAUGGAUCUGCGGUAGAGCAUGCAUGUUGGGACCCGAAAGAUGGUGAACUAUGCCUGAAUAGGGCAAAGCCAGAGGAAACUCUGGUGGAGGCUCGUAGCGAUUCUGACGUGCAAAUCGAUCGUCGAAUUUGGUAUAGGGGGCGAAAGACUAAUCGAAC